RNAcentral lists this ribosomal RNA (464 nucleotides) under uncultured bacterium. RNAcentral describes it as "partial 16S ribosomal RNA". It matches the Rfam family "Bacterial small subunit ribosomal RNA", at positions 338 to 795 of the family's 1533-position model. The record is from RNAcentral.
CCUACGGGUGGCAGCAGUGGGGAAUAUUGCGCAAUGGGCGAAAGCCUGACGCAGCGACGCCGCGUGAGGGAUGAAGGUCUUCGGAUCGUAAACCUCUGUCAGCAGGGAAGAACGGUCACUGUGCUAAUCAGCAGUGAAUUGACGGUACCUGCAAAGGAAGCACCGGCUAACUCCGUGCCAGCAGCCGCGGUAAUACGUAGGUGGCAAGCGUUGUCCGGAAUUACUGGGUGUAAAGGGAGCGUAGGCGGGAAAGCAAGUUGAAUGUUUAAGGUACGGGCUCAACCUGUACAAGCGUUCAAAACUGUUUUUCUUGAGUGGAGUAGAGGUAAGCGGAAUUCCUAGUGUAGCGGUGAAAUGCGUAAAUAUUAGGAGGAACACCAGUGGCGAAGGCGGCUUACUGGGCUUUAACUGACGCUGAGGCUCGAAAGCGUGGGUAGCAAACAGGAUUAGAUACCCUAGUAGUC